UACCCGCAGAAGAAGCACCGGCUAACUCCGUGCCAGCAGCCGCGGUAAUACGGAGGGUGCAAGCGUUAAUCGGAAUUACUGGGCGUAAAGCGCACGCAGGCGGUCUGUUAAGUCAGAUGUGAAAUCCCCGGGCUUAACCUGGGAACUGCAUUUGAAACUGGCAGGCUUGAGUCUCGUAGAGGGGGGUAGAAUUCCAGGUGUAGCGGUGAAAUGCGUAGAGAUCUGGAGGAAUACCGGUGGCGAAGGCGGCCCCCUGGACGAAGACUGACGCUCAGGUGCGAAAGCGUGGGGAGCAAACAG
This 300-nucleotide ribosomal RNA is filed under the name uncultured Pantoea sp. RNAcentral describes it as "bacterial SSU rRNA". It matches the Rfam family "Bacterial small subunit ribosomal RNA", at positions 476 to 775 of the family's 1533-position model. The record is from RNAcentral. Lineage: Bacteria; Pseudomonadati; Pseudomonadota; Gammaproteobacteria; Enterobacterales; Erwiniaceae.